This 243-nucleotide ribosomal RNA is filed under the name uncultured bacterium. RNAcentral describes it as "partial 16S ribosomal RNA". It matches the Rfam family "Bacterial small subunit ribosomal RNA", at positions 15 to 280 of the family's 1533-position model. The record is from RNAcentral.
GAUCCUGGCUCAGAACGAACGCUGAAGGAAGGAGCUUGCUCUUUCCGGAUGAGUUGCGAACGGGUGAGUAACGCGUAGGUAACCUGCCUGGUAGCGGGGGAUAACUAUUGGAAACGAUAGCUAAUACCGCAUAACAGUAGAUAUUGCAUGAUAUUUGCUUGAAAGGGGCAAUUGCUCCACUACCAGAUGGACCUGCGUUGUAUUAGCUAGUUGGUGAGGUAACGGGCUCACCAAGGCGACGAU